This is a non-coding RNA of Cordylochernes scorpioides, 71 nucleotides long. The record is from the annotation of a GenBank genome assembly. Lineage: Eukaryota; Metazoa; Arthropoda; Arachnida; Pseudoscorpiones; Chernetidae.
CCAUCGGUGGUUCAGUGGUAGAAUGCUCGCCUGCACGCGGGCAGGCCGGGUUCGAUUCCCGGCCCGAUGCA